This 561-nucleotide ribosomal RNA is filed under the name Aspergillus flavus. Its description in RNAcentral is "eukaryotic LSU rRNA". The stretch from base 208 to 361 matches the Rfam family "5.8S ribosomal RNA". Lineage: Eukaryota; Fungi; Ascomycota; Eurotiomycetes; Eurotiales; Aspergillaceae. The record is from RNAcentral.
UAGGUGAACUGCGGAAGGAUCAUUACCGAGUGUAGGGUUCCUAGCGAGCCCAACCUCCCACCCGUGUUUACUGUACCUUAGUUGCUUCGGCGGGCCCGCCAUUCAUGGCCGCCGGGGGCUCUCAGCCCCGGGCCCGCGCCCGCCGGAGACACCACGAACUCUGUCUGAUCUAGUGAAGUCUGAGUUGAUUGUAUCGCAAUCAGUUAAAACUUUCAACAAUGGAUCUCUUGGUUCCGGCAUCGAUGAAGAACGCAGCGAAAUGCGAUAACUAGUGUGAAUUGCAGAAUUCCGUGAAUCAUCGAGUCUUUGAACGCACAUUGCGCCCCCUGGUAUUCCGGGGGGCAUGCCUGUCCGAGCGUCAUUGCUGCCCAUCAAGCACGGCUUGUGUGUUGGGUCGUCGUCCCCUCUCCGGGGGGGACGGGCCCCAAAGGCAGCGGCGGCACCGCGUCCGAUCCUCGAGCGUAUGGGGCUUUGUCACCCGCUCUGUAGGCCCGGCCGGCGCUUGCCGAACGCAAAUCAAUCUUUUUCCAGGUUGACCUCGAUCAGUAGGAACCCGCUGAC